RNAcentral lists this long non-coding RNA (232 nucleotides) under Nicotiana benthamiana. RNAcentral's name for it is "long non-coding RNA (NBEN_LNC041600)". Lineage: Eukaryota; Viridiplantae; Streptophyta; Magnoliopsida; Solanales; Solanaceae. The record is from RNAcentral.
AACCCUGAUUCUAGACCUCCAGACUCCCCUAUCAAGGGUCAAGUCCUCGGUAACCUGCAUUCUAGUCAUGUCCUGCCUAAUCACCUCUACCCAAUGUUUCCUAGGCCUCCCUCUACCCCUUUUUCAAGUCUCUCCCUUAAAAUAAAAAGGCCCAAAGUGUAGAUCCUCUCUCCACAAGUAGAAAAAUAUGAACUUUCUCCCUCCUUUCAACAAUCACUUUCGACAAAGCAGU